Molecule: ribosomal RNA, 411 nt
Filed under: Escherichia coli
Lineage: Bacteria; Pseudomonadati; Pseudomonadota; Gammaproteobacteria; Enterobacterales; Enterobacteriaceae
Description: bacterial SSU rRNA
Rfam family: Bacterial small subunit ribosomal RNA
Source: RNAcentral
AAAUUGAAGAGUUUGAUCAUGGCUCAGAUUGAACGCUGGCGGCAGGCCUAACACAUGCAAGUCGAACGGUAACAGGAAGAAGCUUGCUUCUUUGCUGACGAGUGGCGGACGGGUGAGUAAUGUCUGGGAAACUGCCUGAUGGAGGGGGAUAACUACUGGAAACGGUAGCUAAUACCGCAUAACGUCGCAAGACCAAAGAGGGGGAGCUUCGGGCCUCUUGCCAUCGGAUGUGCCCAGAUGGGAUUAGCUAGUAGGUGGGGUAACGGCUCACCUAGGCGACGAUCCCUAGCUGGUCUGAGAGGAUGACCAGCCACACUGGAACUGAGACACGGUCCAGACUCCUACGGGAGGCAGCAGUGGGGAAUAUUGCACAAUGGGCGCAAGCCUGAUGCAGCCAUGCCGCGUGUAUGA